GACGAACGCUGGCGGCGUGCUUAACACAUGCAAGUCGAACGGAAAGUCCCUGCUUUUGUGGGGUGCUCGAGUGGCGAACGGGUGAGUAACACGUGAGUAACCUGCCCUUGACUUUGGGAUAACUUCAGGAAACUGGGGCUAAUACCGGAUAGGAGCUCCUGCUGCAUGGUGGGGGUUGGAAAGUUUCGGCGGUUGGGGAUGGACUCGCGGCUUAUCAGCUUGUUGGUGGGGUAGUGGCUUACCAAGGCUUUGACGGGUAGCCGGCCUGAGAGGGUGACCGGCCAAAUUGGAACUGAGAUACGGCCCAGACUCCUACGGGAGGCAGCAGUGGGGAAUAUUGCACAAUGGGCGGAAGCCUGAUGCAGCAACGCCGCGUGCGGGAUGACGGCCUUCGGGUUGUAAACCGCUUUCGCCUGUGACGAAGCGUGAGUGACGGUAAUGGGUAAAGAAGCACCGGCUAACUACGUG
This 468-nucleotide ribosomal RNA is filed under the name uncultured bacterium. RNAcentral's name for it is "partial 16S ribosomal RNA". It matches the Rfam family "Bacterial small subunit ribosomal RNA", at positions 28 to 507 of the family's 1533-position model. The record is from RNAcentral.